Molecule: transfer RNA, 67 nt
Filed under: Bacillus smithii
Lineage: Bacteria; Bacillati; Bacillota; Bacilli; Caryophanales; Bacillaceae
Also listed under: 1 other name
Rfam family: tRNA
About the family: Transfer RNA (tRNA) molecules are approximately 80 nucleotides in length. Their secondary structure includes four short double-helical elements and three loops (D, anti-codon, and T loops). Further hydrogen bonds mediate the characteristic L-shaped molecular structure. tRNAs have two regions of fundamental functional importance: the anti-codon, which is responsible for specific mRNA codon recognition, and the 3' end, to which the tRNAs corresponding amino acid is attached (by aminoacyl-tRNA synthetases). tRNAs cope with the degeneracy of the genetic code in two manners: having more than one tRNA (with a specific anti-codon) for a particular amino acid; and 'wobble' base-pairing, i.e. permitting non-standard base-pairing at the 3rd anti-codon position.
Source: RNAcentral
GGCUAUGGCGAAGUGGUUAACGCAUCGGAUUGUGGCUCCGACAUUCGUGGGUUCGAUUCCCACUAGU